This 521-nucleotide ribosomal RNA is filed under the name uncultured prokaryote. RNAcentral's name for it is "bacterial SSU rRNA". It matches the Rfam family "Bacterial small subunit ribosomal RNA", at positions 355 to 896 of the family's 1533-position model. The record is from RNAcentral.
UGGGGAAUCUAGCACAAUGGAGGAAACUCUGAUGCAGCGAUGCCGCGUGAGUGAAGAAGGCCUUUGGGUUGUAAAGCUCUUUUGUAGGGGAAGAUAAUGACUGUACCCUAAGAAUAAGGUCCGGCUAACUUCGUGCCAGCAGCCGCGGUAAUACGAAGGGACCUAGCGUAGUUCGGAAUUACUGGGCGUAAAGCGCGCGUAGGCCGUUGAGUUAGUUAAUUGUGAAAUCCCAAAGCUUAACUUUGGAACUGCAAUUAAAACUGCUCGACUAGAGUUUGAUAGAGGAAAGCGGAAUACAUAGUGUAGAGGUGAAAUUCGUAGAUAUUAUGUAGAACACCAGUUGCGAAGGCGGCUUUCUGGAUCAACACUGACGCUGAGGCGCGAAAGUAUGGGUAGCAAAGAGGAUUAGAUACCCUCGUAGUCCAUACCAUAAACGAUGAUUGCUAGAUGUUGGAAAUUUAUUUUCAGUAUCGCAGCUAACGCAUUAAGCAAUCCGCCUGGGGAGUACGACCGCAAGGUUA